UUAUAAAUAGUGUAGUAUAAAACACAUUAACUUUUCAAGUUAAAGAUAUUGAGACAAUUUUAU
Molecule: transfer RNA, 63 nt
Filed under: Paracanthobdella livanowi
Lineage: Eukaryota; Metazoa; Annelida; Clitellata; Acanthobdellida
Description: tRNA-Glu
Rfam family: tRNA
About the family: Transfer RNA (tRNA) molecules are approximately 80 nucleotides in length. Their secondary structure includes four short double-helical elements and three loops (D, anti-codon, and T loops). Further hydrogen bonds mediate the characteristic L-shaped molecular structure. tRNAs have two regions of fundamental functional importance: the anti-codon, which is responsible for specific mRNA codon recognition, and the 3' end, to which the tRNAs corresponding amino acid is attached (by aminoacyl-tRNA synthetases). tRNAs cope with the degeneracy of the genetic code in two manners: having more than one tRNA (with a specific anti-codon) for a particular amino acid; and 'wobble' base-pairing, i.e. permitting non-standard base-pairing at the 3rd anti-codon position.
Source: RNAcentral